CCGGCACCGGCGCCGGGCAGGGCGGCCCGAGCCGCCUUUCCCGCGGCAGCGGUUGGAGUUGUCGAAGUUGGUGGUGGCCGCGAUGAGCGCGGCUCCUCUCCGCUCCCCCGCCCGGCGGGGCCCCUGAUGGCUGCUGCCCCUGCCUCGCAGGCUGCUGGGUUUGGUCUCGGGUGGCUUUUUUUUUUGUGCGUGCGUGUUUUUCUUUUUGUUAUUAUUUUUCUCCUCCGUCUCGCUCUCGCUCCAGCCAAGGUGAAUGGCCCGCGGUGGGUGUAGCUGGCCUCAGCGGCUCCGCAAGGGGAAAAUGCUGGCGGUGGGGGUGCUGGCCGGCCUCUCGGUGCUCAGCCUCCUCACCUACGGCUACCUGUCCUGGGACAGCCUCGGACGCGGCCCCGGAGAGGCGCCGGCAGCGCUGGGAGAAGAGCCGGGGGUCGGCACCCCCAGCUCGCAGCCGCACAUCGUCUUCAUCCUGGCUGAUGAUCAGGGCUUCAGAGAUGUAGGGUACCACGGCUCGGAGAUCAGGACGCCCACUCUGGACAAGCUAGCUGCUGAAGGGGUUAAACUGGAGAACUAUUAUGUUCAGCCUAUGUGCACACCAUCCAGAAGCCAGUUUAUCACUGGAAAGUACCAGAUACACACCGGCCUUCAGCACUCCAUUAUACGGCCAACCCAGCCCAACUGCCUACCUCUGGAUAACGUCACGCUACCUCAGAAACUGAAGGAGGUUGGUUAUUCAACACACAUGGUUGGCAAAUGGCACUUGGGGUUUUAUCGCAGAGAAUGCAUGCCCACACAGAGAGGAUUUGACACUUUCUUUGGCUCACUCUUAGGCAGCGGUGACUACUACACUCACUUCAAAUGUGACAGCCCUGGAAUAUGUGGCUAUGACCUGUAUGAGAAUGAUAAUGCAGCUUGGGAUCACGACAAUGGCAUCUACUCCACACAGAUGUACACGCAAAAAGUACAACAAAUAUUAGCUUCUCACAAUCCCAGGAAACCUAUAUUCUUAUAUAUUGCUUACCAAGCUGUUCAUUCACCUCUUCAGGCACCAGGAAAGUAUUUUGAACAUUAUCGAUCCAUAAAUAACAUAAACAGGCGAAGAUACGCUGCGAUGCUAGCUUGUUUGGAUGAAGCCAUAAACAACGUUACCCUUGCUUUAAAGAAGUACGGAUACUAUGACAAUAGCAUUAUCAUAUAUUCUUCAGAUAACGGUGGGCAGCCAAUGGCUGGAGGAAGUAACUGGCCUCUCCGGGGCAGCAAAGGAACAUACUGGGAAGGAGGUAUCCGUGCUGUUGGGUUUGUUCAUAGCCCCCUUCUGAAAAACAAAGGGUCUGUGUGUAAGGAGCUUGUGCACAUCACGGACUGGUUCCCCACUUUGAUCACACUGGCCGAAGGACAGAUUGAUGAAGAUAUCCAGCUAGAUGGCUAUGAUAUUUGGGAAACCAUUAGCGAAGGCAGACGUUCUCCACGGGUAGACAUCUUACACAACAUUGAUCCAAUUUACACCAAAGCCAAAAAUGGGUCUUGGGCAGCUGGCUAUGGGAUCUGGAACACUGCAAUUCAAUCUGCCAUCAGAGUGAAUCAUUGGAAACUACUGACAGGAAAUCCAGGAUAUAGUGACUGGGUUCCUCCACAGGCCUUCAGCAAUGUGGGCCCCAACCGCUGGCAUAAUGAACGUGUUUCUUGGUCAGCUGGCAAAACUGUGUGGCUUUUCAACAUAACUGCUGAUCCAUACGAACGGGUGGACCUCUCUGCAAAGUAUCCUGAUGUAGUGAAACAGCUGUUGAGGAGGCUUUCACAGUUUAAUAAGACUGCAGUUCCUGUUCGGUACCCACCUAAGGACCCACGGAGUAACCCAAAGCUGAAUGGAGGAGUCUGGGGUCCAUGGUUUAAAGAGGAUGAAAAGAAGAAGAAGUCAGAUAAAAGUAAAGGUGCUAAUAAGCAAAAGAAGAACAAGAACAAGAAAAAAGCAAAUCGGAAAAAAGGACAAUCGUUACAUUGCCGAUCACGUCUUGCUGGUGGAUAGACUUUGAGCAUACUUUUUUUGCCAAGCCUAAGACAGCUUGGCCCAAGUUCCUUGAAUUCUGACAGAAUAUACCAGAAAUGCCUGUUCUGCACUAUGGAGGAAAGCUGUCAUCUUUUAAUUUGUUCUCAAAUUUCACUAAGAUGAGAUAUUUUGACACUCUGCAUCAAACAUACAUGAACAUCCAUGUGACAGACUUUCUCCUCUACAGGAAGAAUGGUGCUCUUCCAUCACAGCUACAUUCCAGAUAAGAACACAAUUACUCCUAACUUCAGAAGGCCCAUUUUUGAUGGACAAAUGAUUGUUCCUUUCCUGAAUUAGUUAGAAUUUUUUGAGAGUCUGGAGUGGCAGAUGUUUCAUAGAGAGAAAGGAAAAACAAAGCUUGAAAACUUCUGUAGGUCUGAGAGUGUUAGCCACCAACCUGUGACUUUUUUUUUAUAAAACAUAGCAAAAAUUGAAGCCAAUGGUAUCUUUUUUGGGGGGUGUUGGGGAGAGGAACAUGAUAGUAGGAAAGCUGCUUUGAAUUAGACUGUGUUUCUCUUAGAUAAACCAGAAAUACUUUUUAAAUUCUCUAAAUGUGCUAACCUUUCCUCAUUUGUAGUAAAACCAGAAAGUUGUUAUCGGCACACAUGAAUAACUAGCACAGGCCAUGUAUAAUUUAUUAUAGGCAUAGGCAAAAGCACAUCACCAAAGUGAAUGUAAUAUUUAAACACUUUAAGAUAUCUAUACUACAGUACAUGCAAGACGUAAUUUAUUUUACAGCACAAUACUUUCUUCUUUUCCAUUAAAACUUUAAUUAGUGGGUGAUGCAAGGGUUGUUUAUUUGUUUUUCUUUUGAUUUUUAAUUUUAUUUUCACUCAGUCAUUCAGAGUUUUAUUCAACAGAUCCACAUCCUCAGAGUACUGUAAAACAAGGAAAUGCUGUAGACACUGCUAAGAUGAGAGGAGAAUGAUUCAGGCAAAAUGAGAGUCUUUGAAUGCAAACAGUGCAAAGCAGAACAGUGGAUCAGUUCUUGUAUGAAAUAUAUGUGCCAAAAUGUAAGUGUUUGUAGAGUAUACAUUAGGAGUACAUUUUCUAAGGCUGCAGUGGCUGUCAGUUAGGAUGAUUCCCUUAAAAUCAAAACUCUGAUCUGCUUUAGGGCAAAGGUUAGAUUUACAGUGGGUUAAAAAUAUGCACAAAUUGAAAGCCUUCUUGAACCUUUUGCUGAGAAGAUCAUGGUGUGAAAAUACCACAUUGCCAUUUUCCUGUCUACUUCUACUCACUACUCCUGUUUUCACUCCAGCAAUACGUUGUUCUUUUGUUUUCAGUGCUACUACUCUGGUCUCAAACCAAACUUUCUGUGUAAAGACUUGUAAGUAGUACAUUCACUCAAAGAGCAGGAUUUCACAGGUUAUUUACAUCCCAGGAUGUGUUAUGUGUCCAGUCUCAGAGAAGAUACGAGAGGUAAGCUAUGCAAACAGUUCAAAGAAACUACUGAAACGGCAGUCCUGUAACUCAGAAUCAAAAGCAACAGUCCUGCCAAUUGCUGGACAGAUGCACUAAGGCAGUUAAUACUUUGCUCAGGAUGAUUUAUUGUGCAAAUUUUGAGAAGAUCUAGAAAAAGACUUCACAGGGAGAAUGGCAGGAAGGAUCUUUUUUAAGUUAUCUCAAUUUCUAGGCAUAUUUAACAAAUGCUAUGGGUACAACAAAAAGCCAGCUCUGAUGAUAACUCUCUGAUCUGAUCUUAGAGAUAUCUAAGGGCCAGGGAGACAAUAUUACUUCCUUUUCCAUGUAUUGUUGUCAGCUGUGAUCCUGGACAAUAAUCCCUACCAGAGCAGCCCCAAGAAUAAGAAAGACAAAUGCAGGGCACAGAGCAAAAAAGAAAAACAUGAAAAAGGAAAAAACACAGAAACACAAAAGCCUUUCCUCAAAAUCUGUGCUCCCAAAACAUAUUAUUUCAUGCUGAAUUUCUUUUAAAAAUUGUUCAGGUGUGAAAAAUACCUGUUCUGUAUUUUUUAGGAUUUCUCAAUCUUAUUCUGUGAAUUGCUUUUCAGAUGCUUCAAUAAUUUUAUCAACCACUGUUACGUUAGCUUUCUGUUACUGUUGUUACUUAGUUUCACAUGAAGUUGGAGAGAAAAAUAUUGUCCUGGCUACAGGUAAAUACUAGUGGAAGGAAGUACUAUGAAUGAUAAGUAAAUCUAAAAUGACAGUCUUUUUGUAUGGAUCUUGUUGUAAGAGGUGAGGGACAGUCCAUGAGGUUCUGAAGCUCAGGAAUGGAAGAUGAGUUAUCAUAAGUAAUGGAGUCAUUAGUGUCUGAAGCCAUCCAGCAGGUUUCUGUAUCUGCUGGGACACACAACUGGUAUAGAAAGUGAAUUAAGCCAUUAAACCCUGCAACUUCCUGUCUCUCUCCCUGGAAGUAAUGGAUGCUGAUUGGAUUUCAAGCUGAUGAAAGAGCACUCAUGCUUCCAUCUAUACAGGAUUAUAUAUAAUGGGUUCUCUGAGGUAUCGUCUAGACAACAUUGAAACUUAGUUUUUUGUGGUCUUACUGCAAAGAAUAAACAACUUUUUUUUCUUUCACUGCUCUGCACAUUCAGCAGUGUGCACUCAA
Phasianus colchicus (ring-necked pheasant) is the source of this 4607-nucleotide non-coding RNA. The record is from RefSeq and is a predicted model, not a curated record. NCBI's taxonomy places the organism in Eukaryota, Metazoa, Chordata, Aves, Galliformes, Phasianidae.